This 308-nucleotide ribosomal RNA is filed under the name Malagasya antongilensis. RNAcentral's name for it is "partial 12S ribosomal RNA". The record is from RNAcentral. Lineage: Eukaryota; Metazoa; Arthropoda; Malacostraca; Decapoda; Deckeniidae.
GAGGAACCCGCUUCAUUGAUCGAUAAACCCCGAAGUAUCUUACUUAUUUUAGAAAAAAUAUUAAUUUUUUUUAUAGUUUGUAUACCAUCAUUAUCAGAUAAUUUUAUAAGAGAAUAAAAUUAUUUAAAUUAAUAUUAUUAUAAAAAAAUUAGAUCAAGGUGCGGCUUAUAAAUAAGUUAGAAGGGGUUACAAUGAAGGUUUGUUAGAUGAAUUAGUUUUAAUGAAAAAAGGCUAUAAAAGAGGAUUUGAGUGUAAUAUGAAUUUAAUAAGUUUAUAUGGGAUGAGCUCUAAAUUAUGUACACAUCGCC